CGAGAUGGCUUGGUGCUCGAAAGAGAACCUGGACACAGGUGCUGCAUGGCCGUCGUCAGCUCGUGUCGUGAGAUGUUGGGUUAAGUCCCGCAACGAGCGCAACCCUUAUCAUUAGUUGCUACGCAAGGGCACUCUAAUGAGACUGCCGGUGACAAACCGGAGGAAGGUGGGGAUGACGUCAGGUCAUCAUGGCCCUUAUGGGUAGGGCUACACACGUCAUACAAUGGCCGGUACAGAGGGCUGCCAACCCGCGAGGGGGAGCUAAUCUCAGAAAACCGGUCGUAGUCCGGAUCGCAGUCUGCAACUCGACUGCGUGAAGUCGGAAUCGCUAGUAAUCGCGGAUCAGCUUGCCGCGGUGAAUACGUUCCCGGGUCUUGUACACACCGCCCGUCACACCAUGGGAGCGGGUUCUGCCAGAAGUAGUUAGCCUAACCGCAAGGGGGGCGAUUACCACGGCAGGGUUCGUGACUGGGGUGAAGUCGUAACAAGGUAACCGU
Molecule: ribosomal RNA, 497 nt
Filed under: uncultured Comamonadaceae bacterium
Lineage: Bacteria; Pseudomonadati; Pseudomonadota; Betaproteobacteria; Burkholderiales; Comamonadaceae
Description: bacterial SSU rRNA
Rfam family: Bacterial small subunit ribosomal RNA
Source: RNAcentral